UCGAGAAUAUUCCACAAUGCACGAAAGUGUGAUGGAGCGACGCCGCGUGUUGAACGAAGGCCUUCGGGUCGUAAACAACUUUUCUCAGGGACGAAUUUUGACGGUACCUGAGGAAUAAGGGGUUGCUAACUCUGUGCCAGCAGCAGCGGUAAUACAGAGACCCCAAGCAUUAUCCGGAUUUAUUGGGCGUAAAGCGUACGUAGGCGGUUUCGUAAGUCAUUUGUUAAAUCUUCAGGCUUAACCUGGAGGCUGCGGGUGAUACUGCGAGGCUAGAGUAUGGGAGAGGUUAGCGGAAUGCCUAGUGUAGCGGUAAAAUGCGUUAAUAUUAGGUAGAACACCAAAUGCGAAAGCAGCUAACUGGAACAUUACUGACGCUCAGUGUACGAAAGCGUGGGUAGCG
Molecule: ribosomal RNA, 400 nt
Filed under: uncultured bacterium
Lineage: Bacteria
Description: bacterial SSU rRNA
Rfam family: Bacterial small subunit ribosomal RNA
Source: RNAcentral